GAGCUCAACUUUGGAAUCGCUCCGGCGAGUUGUAGUCUGGAGGUGGCCACCACGAGGUGUUCUAGCAGCAGGCAAGUCCUUUGGAACAAGGCGCCAGCGAGGGUGACAGCCCCGUACCUGCUUUUGCUAGUGCUUCCUGUGGCCCACCGACGAGUCGAGUUGUUUGGGAAUGCAGCUCUAAGUGGGUGGUAAAUUCCAUCUAAGGCUAAAUAUUGGCGAGAGACCGAUAGCGAACAAGUACAGUGAUGGAAAGAUGAAAAGCACUUUGAAAAGAGAGUGAAACAGUACGUGAAAUUGUUGAAAGGGAAGGGCUUGCACCCAGACACGGUUUCGGCCGGGCCAGCAUCAAGUAGAACGGGGUUAAAAGACUUGGGGAAUGUAGCUACUUCGGUAGUGUUAUAGCCCUUGGUGAUGACCCCUGUUUUGCUUGAGGACAGCGGUCUCUAGGAUGCUGGCGCAAAGGUUGCAAGCCACCCGUCUUGAA
Molecule: ribosomal RNA, 484 nt
Filed under: Candidozyma auris
Lineage: Eukaryota; Fungi; Ascomycota; Pichiomycetes; Serinales; Metschnikowiaceae
Description: eukaryotic LSU rRNA
Rfam family: Eukaryotic large subunit ribosomal RNA
Source: RNAcentral